Molecule: ribosomal RNA, 253 nt
Filed under: uncultured bacterium
Lineage: Bacteria
Description: partial 16S ribosomal RNA
Rfam family: Bacterial small subunit ribosomal RNA
Source: RNAcentral
UACGUAGGGGGCAAGCGUUGUCCGGAAUCAUUGGGCGUAAAGAGCGUGUAGGCGGCCUGAUAAGUCGGUUGUGAAAGUCAAGGGCUCAACCCUUGAAUGCCGGCCGAUACUGGCAGGCUAGAGUCCGGAAGAGGCGAGUGGAAUUCCUGGUGUAGCGGUGAAAUGCGCAGAUAUCAGGAGGAACACCGAUGGCGAAGGCAGCUCGCUGGGAUGGUACUGACGCUGAGACGCGAAAGCGUGGGGAGCGAACAGG